Molecule: non-coding RNA, 476 nt
Organism: Pelobates cultripes (western spadefoot toad)
Lineage: Eukaryota; Metazoa; Chordata; Amphibia; Anura; Pelobatidae
Source: the annotation of a GenBank genome assembly
GCCUAGAGUGGUCCUUUAAUCCUGGACUGUUUAGGGGUACUUGAGGACUUGGUUGGAACCACUGAUUUCGGUAAACUAGAAAAAUGGUCAGAGUUGUGCCAGCUGAAAUUUAAUGGGGAUAAGUGCAAGAUAAUGCAUCUUGAACGUAAAAACCCAAGGGCAGAGUAUAGGAUAUUUGAUAGAGUCCUAACCGCAACCGAGGAAAGGGAUUUAGGGGUGAUUAUUUCUGAUGACUUUAAGGUAGGCAGACAAUGUAAUAGAGCAGCAGGAAAUGCUAGCAGAAUGCUUGGUUGUAUAGGGAGAGGUAUUAGCAGUAGAAAGAGGGAAGUGCUCAUGCCAUUGUACAGAACACUGGUGAGACCUCACUUGGAGUAUUGUACACAGUACUGGAGACCUUAUCUUCAGAAGGAUAUUGAUACCUUAGAGAGGGUUCAGAGAAGGGCUACUAAACUGGUUCAUGGAUUGCGGGAUAAAAC